RNAcentral lists this ribosomal RNA (460 nucleotides) under uncultured bacterium. RNAcentral's name for it is "partial 16S ribosomal RNA". It matches the Rfam family "Bacterial small subunit ribosomal RNA", at positions 338 to 795 of the family's 1533-position model. The record is from RNAcentral.
CCUACGGGAGACAGCAGUGAGGAAUAUUGGUCAAUGGACGAGAGUCUGAACCAGCCAAGUAGCGUGAAGGAUGACUGCCCUAUGGGUUGUAAACUUCUUUUAUAUGGGAAUAAAACGUUCCACGUGUGGGAUUUUGUAUGUACCAUAUGAAUAAGGAUCGGCUAACUACGUGCCAGCAGCCGCGGUAAUACGGAGGAUCCGAGCGUUAUCCGGAUUUAUUGGGUUUAAAGGGAGCGUAGGUGGAUUGUUAAGUCAGUUGUGAAAGUUUGCGGCUCAACCGUAAAAUUGCAGUUGAAACUGGCAGUCUUGAGUACAGUAGAGGUGGGCGGAAUUCGUGGUGUAGCGGUGAAAUGCUUAGAUAUCACGAAGAACUCCGAUUGCGAAGGCAGUUCACUGGACUGCAACUGACACUGAGGCUCGAAAGUGUGGGUAUCAAACAGGAUUAGAUACCCUGGUAGUC